AUUGAACGCUGGCGGCAGGCCUAACACAUGCAAGUCGAACGGUAACAGGAAGAAGCUUGCUUCUUUGCUGACGAGUGGCGGACGGGUGAGUAAUGUCUGGGAAACUGCCUGAUGGAGGGGGAUAACUACUGGAAACGGUAGCUAAUACCGCAUAACGUCGCAAGACCAAAAGAGGGGGACCUUCGGGCCUCUUGCCAUCGGAUGUGCCCAGAUGGGAUUAGCUAGUAGGUGGGGUAACGGCUCACCUAGGCGACGAUCCCUAGCUGGUCUGAGAGGAUGACCAGCCACACUGGAACUGAGACACGGUCCAGACUCCUACGGGAGGCAGCAGUGGGGAAUAUUGCACAAUGGGCGCAAGCCUGAUGCAGCCAUGCCGCGUGUAUGAAGAAGGCCU
This 394-nucleotide ribosomal RNA is filed under the name uncultured bacterium. Its description in RNAcentral is "bacterial SSU rRNA". It matches the Rfam family "Bacterial small subunit ribosomal RNA", at positions 30 to 417 of the family's 1533-position model. The record is from RNAcentral.